CUGCUGAGCAGGGAGCCUGACGUGGGGCUCAAUCCCAGGACCCUGAGAUCAUGACCCGAGCCGAAGGCAGACGCUUCAACGCCUGAGCCGCCCGGGAUCCCCAGCACUUUCCAUUUUCAGCAGGUUUUAUUAUAACACACUGACGCUACAAUACUCUACGUUACUGGCUGCUCAUCACGUGGAAACUGCGUCACCAUCAGCCACUACAACAGGUAGACGUCGGAAAAGAAGGGGAAGCAGUGAGGCCGUACCACAGACGUCAGCAGAGCGAGCUCACCGGCACUCGGCGGGAGGUGGGAGCUCAGCGUCCGCGGUGCCUCCGAACCACCCGCCUGACUCAUGGCUGCUCAGGUGGGCGUGGAGCUGGUGUCUGGUUUUCCUUACGGCUUUCUUCA
This is a long non-coding RNA of Ailuropoda melanoleuca (giant panda), 395 nucleotides long. RefSeq lists it as uncharacterized. Lineage: Eukaryota; Metazoa; Chordata; Mammalia; Carnivora; Ursidae. The record is from RefSeq and is a predicted model, not a curated record. The transcript is spliced from 3 exons.